Esox lucius (northern pike) is the source of this 761-nucleotide long non-coding RNA. The record is from Ensembl. Lineage: Eukaryota; Metazoa; Chordata; Actinopteri; Esociformes; Esocidae.
AUAACUUCAAGGCUACCAUAUGUCACUCUGUAUAGCAAGCAGUCAAGAUAGCAACAGGUCAUUACAUCCUUCCAUUGCCAGCAGCAAGUUGGUAGAGAUAUGGACAAAAUCAUGAGAUGGACAGCUACAUUUUUAUGCCUAACAGCAUUUAUGGCAACGACAGUACUGAAAACGGCAGAUACACUCGACACAAUCCCAGCAGAUCCUACUGCCAUCCUACUAAAGGCUUCAAAAACAACUGCUCCCACAGCAACCACAUAUUUUUCCACCAAUACCACAUUUGCUCCCACAACAACACCAGUUGCUGCCACCACAAUCACAUACCCCACCGCUACCACAUCUGCCCCGACAACAAGCACAGCUGCUCCCACAACAACACCAACUGCUCCAACUACAACCAAAGAUGCUUACACAAGAAACGCACCUGUUCUGACAACAGCCACAUCUGCUGACACAGCAACCACAGCAUCUUCAACAACUACCACAACUGCUGCCACGUCAACUGCACUGACUCCAACUACAACCAUAUCUUCUCCCAUAAAAACCACCAUGAUUACUCCAAUAACAACCAUGAUUACUCCAACAACCACCACAGCUGCUCACACUACAGCCACAUCUCCAACUAUAACCUCAUCUGCUGACACUGCAACCACAUUGCCUCCAACUACACCCAGAUCUUUAACUACAACCACAGCUGCUUCAACAACAACCCUAGCUGCUCUCACAACAACCAAAACAACGACAACCUUUCCUCUGAAUAC